RNAcentral lists this ribosomal RNA (274 nucleotides) under uncultured bacterium. RNAcentral describes it as "partial 16S ribosomal RNA". It matches the Rfam family "Bacterial small subunit ribosomal RNA", at positions 523 to 796 of the family's 1533-position model. The record is from RNAcentral.
AUACGGAGGGGGCAAGCGUUGUUCGGAAUUACUGGGCGUAAAGGGUUCGUAGGCGGUUAUUUAAGUCAGAUGUGAAAGCCCCGGGCUCAACCUGGGAAUUGCAUCUGAUACUGGGUCACUCGAGUUUAAGAGAGGAGUGUGGAAUUUCCGGUGUAGCGGUGAAAUGCAUAGAGAUCGGAAGGAACAUCAGUGGCGAAGGCGGCACUCUGGCUUAAAACUGACGCUGAGGAACGAAAGCGUGGGUAGCAAACAGGAUUAGAAACCCUAGUAGUCC